AUUGAACGCUGGCGGCAGGCCUAACACAUGCAAGUCGAACGAGUGGCGGACGGGUGAGUAAUGUCUGGGAACCUGCCUGAUGGAGGGGGAUAACUACUGGAAACGGUAGCUAAUACCGCUUACCAUCAGAUGUGCCCAGAUGGGAUUAGCUAGUCGGUGGGGUAACGGCUCAACAGUGCGACGAUCCCUCGCUGGUCUGAGAGGAUGACCAGCCACACUGGAAAUGGUGCACGGGCCAAGCUCCUACGGGGGGCAGGAGUGGGGAAUAUUGCACUAAGGGCGCAAGCCUGAUGCAGCAAUGCCGCGUGUAUGAAGAAGGCCUUCGGGUUGUAAAGUACUUUCAGCGGGGCGGCGUUACCCGCAGAAGAAGCACCGGCUGACUCCGUGCCAGCAGCCGCGGUAAUUC
RNAcentral lists this ribosomal RNA (406 nucleotides) under uncultured bacterium. Its description in RNAcentral is "partial 16S ribosomal RNA". It matches the Rfam family "Bacterial small subunit ribosomal RNA", at positions 30 to 526 of the family's 1533-position model. The record is from RNAcentral.